AGAGUUUGAUCCUGGCUCAGAACGAACGCUGGCGGCGUGUCUAAUACAUGCAAGUCGUACGAGAAAGCCCGGCUUCGGUUGGGCAAGUAAAGUGGCAAACGGGUGAGUAACACGUGGGUAAUCUGCCUUUCAGUCUGGGAUAAGCCUGGGAAACUGGGUCUAAUACCGGAUGAUAUCAUCGACCGGCAUCGGUUGGUGAUCAAAGACGGGGCAACCUGUCCCUGAGAGAUGAGCCCGCGCUCCAUUAGCUUGUUGGCAGGGUAACGGCCUACCAAGGCGACGAUGGAUAGCCGGCCUGAGAGGGUGAACGGCCACACUGGGACUGAGAUACGGCCCAGACUCCUACGGGAGGCAGCAGUAGGGAAUAUUGGGCAAUGGGCGCAAGCCUGACCCAGCGACGCCGCGUGGGUGAUGAAGGUCUUUGGAUUGUAAAACCCUGUCAGUGGGGAAGAACCGCAUCAGGAGUUACUGCCUGGUGCCUGACGGUACCCACAGAGGAAGCUCCGGCUAACUCCGUGCCAGCAGCCGCGGUAAUACGGGGGGAGCGAGCGUUGUUCGGAUUUACUGGGCGUAAAGGGCGCGUAGGCGGGUCAUCAAGUCAGAUGUGAAACCCGGCGGCUCAACCGCCGGCCUGCAUCUGAAACUGGCGACCUUGAGUACGGGAGAGGAAAGUGGAAUUCCUGGUGUAGCGGUGAAAUGCGUAGAUAUCAGGAGGAACACCGGUGGCGAAGGCGGCUUUCUGGCCCGAUACUGACGCUGAGGCGCGAAGGCCGGGGGAGCAAACAGGAUUAGAUACCCUGGUAGUCCCGGCGGUAAACGAUGGGCACUAGGUGUUGGAGGUAUCGACCCCUUCAGUGCCGCAGCUAACGCAUUAAGUGCCCCGCCUGGGGAGUACGGCCGCAAGGCUGAAACUCAAAGGAAUUGACGGGGGCCCGCACAAGCGGUGGAGUAUGUGGUUCAAUUCGAUGCAACGCGCAGAACCUUACCUGGGCUUGACAUGUACCGGACCGAGGCUGAAAGGUCUCUUCUCCUUCGGGAGUCGGUGCACAGGUGCUGCAUGGCUGUCGUCAGCUCGUGCCGUGAGGUGUUGGGUUAAGUCCCGCAACGAGCGCAACCCCUGUUCUUAGUUGCCAUCAGUUCGGCUGGGCACUCUAGGAAGACUGCCGGUGAUAAGCUGGAGGAAGGUGGGGACGACGUCAAGUCCUCAUGGCCCUUACGCCCAGGGCUACACACGUACUACAAUGGCCGGCACAGAGGGCCGCAAGACCGCGAGGUGGAGCAAAUCCUUAAAGCCGGUCUCAGUUCGGAUUGGAGUCUGCAACUCGACUCCAUGAAGGUGGAAUCGCUAGUAAUCGCGGAUCAGCAGGUCGCGGUGAAUACGUUCCCGGGCCUUGUACACACCGCCCGUCAAGCCACGGAAGCUGGGGGUACCC
Molecule: ribosomal RNA, 1433 nt
Filed under: metagenome
Description: bacterial SSU rRNA
Rfam family: Bacterial small subunit ribosomal RNA
Source: RNAcentral